CCCAGGACCCACAAGUGGCAACCGCUUUUAUUGGGCCUAAAGCGUCCGUAGCCGGUUUUGUAAAUCUUCUGUGAAAUCCUCGGGCUUAACCCGAGGGCGCGCAGGAGACACUGCAUCACUAGGGACCGGGAGGCGUGAGGAGUAUUUUUGGGGGAGCGGUAAAAUGUUAUAAUCCCAAAAGGACUACCUGUGGCGAAGGCGCCUCACGAGAACGGAUCCGACGGUGAGUGACGAAAGCUAGGGGAGCAAAACGGAUUAGAUACCCGAGUAGUCCUAGCCGUAAACUCUGCAAGUUAGGUGUCGCGCAUUCUUCGGGAAUGUGCGGUGUCGUAAUGAAGAUGUUAAACUUGCCGCCUGGGAAGUAUGGUCGCAAGGCUGAAACUUAA
Molecule: ribosomal RNA, 386 nt
Filed under: uncultured euryarchaeote
Lineage: Archaea; Methanobacteriati; Methanobacteriota
Description: bacterial SSU rRNA
Rfam family: Archaeal small subunit ribosomal RNA
Source: RNAcentral